GUGGAAAGGCUGAUAACGAUGGCGGCCGACAGAGGCCAGGUGACCUGAAGUGUGGAGGGAGCAGAGGUACCGCCUUAGGGUUCUCAAUAGGCCUCAUUCAGAGAAGCCAUUCUAAGAUUUCACACCAGAUCAUGGUACGUGAAUGGUAGUUGGUCUCUAGUCGUUAGGUAAUGCACACACCACUGGUGAAUGGUAGUUGGUCUCUAGUCGUUAGGUAAUGCACACACCACUGGUGAAUGGUAGUUGGUCUCUAGUCGUUAGGUAAUGCACACACCACUGGUGAAUGGUAGUUGGUCUCUAGUCGUUAGGUAAUGCACACACCACUGGUGAAUGGUAGUUGGUCUCUAGUCGUUAGGUAAUGCACACACCACUGGUGAAUGGUAGUUGGUCUCUAGUCGUUAGGUAAUGCACACACCACUGGUGAAUGGUAGUUGGUCUCUAGUCGUUAGGUAAUGCACACACCACUGGUGAAUGGUAGUUGGUCUCUAGUCGUUAGGUAAUGCACACACCACUGGUGAAUGGUAGUUGGUCUCUAGUCGUUAGGUAAUGCACACACCACUGGUGAAUGGUAGUUGGUCUCUAGUCGUUAGGUAAUGCACACACCACUGGUGAAUGGUAGUUGGUCUCUAGUCGUUAGUAAUGCACACACCACAUUGGAUUGAAGAUUUUCUAUUUUGUUUUCUGAUUUGUGUCAAGCUUUCCUGAAUUCACAACUAAAGUAUCCUUGUGGAAACAUAGUAUACUUUUAAUCCAAUUAAGUCUAAAUAAAGAGCAGUGUCUUAGAAUUGGGAGUGGGUUGAACUGUCAACAGGAUUGGAGGAGUCGGGUUUGAAGAGCAUCACAUUGGGACAGAGCAGGAGAAUGAAGACUAGGUUGUGACUAAAUCACACCUAUCAUAGAACAAUAUGGAGGAGGUUGAUAAGAUCACGAUUAGGGCUGUAAAUGUAACGGGUGUGUGAAGACUGGAGACAGACAGUCGCUCAGCUCAGACUACAAUCGGGCGCGCACACACACCACAGACAGAAGAUAGCGAUGCACAGUGUCAGGAGCCUGCAUGACAGUUUUAAAGCCUACAAUCAAUCAGAGACAGGCAAGCUCAAAGACCUGAAUUGCAACAACUGCUGUUCAGUAAAAAUGAUCAAUGACUAGUCUAUUCUAUUGAAUUCACCAAUAACAGUUAGGACUAAUCUAGGUCUUGGAAAUCAGAGCCAGAAACCCAAUCACAUCCAUUUGCAAGAGGCUAUUUUGCCUCAAUCUCAAGCAGUAGACUCUUUCAUAGUAGGCCAUGAAUGUAAGUUUAAAGCUGCAAUAUGUAACUUUUUGGAUGACCCAACCAAAUUCACAUAGAAAUGUGGGUUAUAAAUCUGUCAAUCUCAUUGAAAGCAAGUCUAAGAAGUGGUAGAGCUGUUUUUUGUGUGCUAUUUCUGUCUUUUACUUUCAAUUGUGUACACCAGCUUCAAACAGUUGAAAGUACAAUAUUUUGGGUUCUAGAAAAUAUAUUUCACAGCAGUUUAGACGGUACAAUGGUUCUCUACACCAAACUUGCUUGUUUUGUCACAUAAACUGGAAUUAUGUGAACUGUUUGAAUUUUAGCAACCAGGAAAUGGCGGAGCGAUUUCUGCAUAGUGCAUCAUUAAUUAACUCAUGGAGAUUGA
Long non-coding RNA from Oncorhynchus keta (chum salmon), 1655 nucleotides. RefSeq lists it as uncharacterized. The record is from RefSeq and is a predicted model, not a curated record. The transcript is spliced from 4 exons. Lineage: Eukaryota; Metazoa; Chordata; Actinopteri; Salmoniformes; Salmonidae.